Long non-coding RNA from Oreochromis aureus, 423 nucleotides. Lineage: Eukaryota; Metazoa; Chordata; Actinopteri; Cichliformes; Cichlidae. The record is from Ensembl.
AACUGAGAAAAGUCAAGCGUGCAGCUGCCAAGAUGCCACUUGCCACCAGUUUGGCCAUAUUUCAGAGCUGCAACGUCACUGGAGUGCCCAAAAGCACAAGGUGUGCAAUACUCAGAGACAUGGCCAAGGUAAGAAAGGCUGAAAGACGACCACCACUGAACAAGACACACAAGCUGAAACAUCAAGACUGGGCCAAGAAAUAUCUCAAGACUGAUUUUUCUAAGGUUUUAUGGACUGAUGAAAUGAGAGUGAGUCUUGAUGGGCCAGAUGGAUGGGCCCGUGGCUGGAUUGGUAAAGGGCAGAGAGCUCCAGUCCCACUCAGACGCCAGCAAGGUGGAGGUGGAGUACUGGUUUGGGCUGGUAUCAUCAAAGAUGAGCUUGUGGGGCCUUUUCGGGUUGAGGAUGGAGUCAAGCUCAACUCCC